RNAcentral lists this small nuclear RNA (24 nucleotides) under Arabidopsis thaliana (thale cress). Its description in RNAcentral is "snRNA_15421". The record is from RNAcentral. Lineage: Eukaryota; Viridiplantae; Streptophyta; Magnoliopsida; Brassicales; Brassicaceae.
CAUUAUUAAAGUGAAUCACUAUAA